RNAcentral lists this small RNA (124 nucleotides) under Klebsiella pneumoniae. RNAcentral describes it as "RtT sRNA". It matches the Rfam family "RtT RNA". From Rfam's summary of the family: This family represents a bacterial cis-regulatory element known as RtT RNA. The exact function of RtT is unknown although it is thought that it may be involved in changing the cellular response in relation to amino acid starvation. The record is from RNAcentral. Lineage: Bacteria; Pseudomonadati; Pseudomonadota; Gammaproteobacteria; Enterobacterales; Enterobacteriaceae.
CCUACAGGGAAGGAUGAGAAGCUUCGACUAAGGUUCGACUCGAGCGAAGCGAGAGAACGUUGCCGCAGGCAACGGCCCGAAGGGCGAAGCGCUUUAGCGCCGAGUAAUCCUUCCCCCACCACUG